This 382-nucleotide ribosomal RNA is filed under the name uncultured soil bacterium. RNAcentral's name for it is "bacterial SSU rRNA". It matches the Rfam family "Bacterial small subunit ribosomal RNA", at positions 26 to 405 of the family's 1533-position model. The record is from RNAcentral.
AGAUUGAACGCUGGCGGCAGGCCUAACACAUGCAAGUCGAGCGGUAGAGAGGUGCUUGCACCUCUUGAGAGCGGCGGACGGGUGAGUAAUGCCUAGGAAUCUGCCUAGUGGUGGGGGAUAACGUUCGGAAACGGACGCUAAUACCGCAUACGUCCUACGGGAGAAAGCGGGGGACCUUCGGGCCUCGCGCCAUUAGAUGAGCCUAGGUCGGAUUAGCUAGUUGGUGGGGUAAUGGCUCACCAAGGCGACGAUCCGUAACUGGUCUGAGAGGAUAAUCAGUCACACUGGAACUGAGACACGGUCCAGACUCCGUACGGGGAGCAGCAGUGGGGAAUAGUUGGACAAGUGGGCGAAAGCCGUGAUCCAGCCAUCGCCGCGUGUG